AUGCACGAUUAUAUGUUAAUUUUUAAAAUGGGUUGUGGUGUCCCGUGUUUGUUAAAUCAUCAUAUGUUAUUGACAGUAUAUACUUUUCUUUCUUUUCUACCAAACAUGUGUGCUAUGACAUUUUGUAAAAUGUGUUUUCUAAAUGUUGUUAAGUUUCUUGAUUUCUCCAUCUCCACCCCCUACGGCCUUGUUGAACUAACUGAUAUAUGCAAAUUAAGUGCCACAGAUCAGUUGCAAGUGUUCAUGCAUCAUCCUUGUCAAUUUCUCCCAGAGAGCGAGUGUUUACAAGUCCAGUGCUUAUGUCAGUUAUUAAUUAGUGAAGAUUUUGAUCUGAUGUAG
This 339-nucleotide ribosomal RNA is filed under the name Triticum aestivum (bread wheat). RNAcentral's name for it is "partial small subunit ribosomal RNA". The record is from RNAcentral. Lineage: Eukaryota; Viridiplantae; Streptophyta; Magnoliopsida; Poales; Poaceae.